RNAcentral lists this ribosomal RNA (221 nucleotides) under uncultured bacterium. Its description in RNAcentral is "partial 16S ribosomal RNA". It matches the Rfam family "Bacterial small subunit ribosomal RNA", at positions 326 to 539 of the family's 1533-position model. The record is from RNAcentral.
ACGCUCGACACCUACGGGGCAGCAGUAGGGAAUCUUCCACAAUGGACGCAAGUCUGAUGGAGCAACGCCGCGUGAGUGAAGAAGGUCUUCGGAUCGUAAAACUCUGUUGUUAGAGAAGAACACGAGUGAGAGUAACUGUUCAUUCGAUGACGGUAUCUAACCAGCAAGUCACGGCUAACUACGUGCCAUCAGCCGCGGUAAUCUGAGCGGGCUGGCAAGGC